AGAGUUUGAUCAUGGCUCAGGACGAACGCUGGCGGCGUGCUUAACACAUGCAAGUCGAGCGAAGAAACAUUUAAAAGAGCCCUGUUUACAGGGACCUUUCUAGUGUUUACUGAGCGGCGGACGGGUGAGUAACGCGUGGGGAAUCUGCCUUAAGCUGAGGAAUAACGCAAGGAAACUUGUACUAAUGCCUCAUAAGACCACAUAAUGGCAUCAUUAAGUGAUCAAAGGGUUUACCGGCUUUAGAGGAUCCCGCGUCUGAUUAGCUAGUUGGUGGGGUAAGAGCCUACCAAGGCGACGAUCAGUAGCCGAACUGAGAGGUUGAUCGGCCACAUUGGGACUGAGACACGGCCCAGACUCCUACGGGAGGCAGCAGUGGGGAAUAUUGCACAAUGGGGGGAACCCUGAUGCAGCAACGCCGCGUGAAGGAAGAAGGCCUUCGGGUUGUAAACUUCUUUGACCAGGGAAGAAACAAAUGACGGUACCUGGAAAACAAGCCACGGCUAACUACGUGCCAGCAGCCGCGGUAAUACGUAGGUGGCGAGCGUUGUCCGGAUUUACUGGGUGUAAAGGGCGUGUAGGCGGGUUUAUAAGUCGGAUGUGAAAUACCGGGGCUCAACUCCGGGGCUGCAUCUGAAACUAUAGAUCUUGAGUGUUGGAGGGGAAAAGUGGAAUUCCUAGUGUAGCGGUGAAAUGCGUAGAUAUUAGGAGGAAACACCAGUGGCGAAGGCGGCUUUCUGGCCAAACACUG
This 748-nucleotide ribosomal RNA is filed under the name uncultured bacterium. RNAcentral describes it as "bacterial SSU rRNA". It matches the Rfam family "Bacterial small subunit ribosomal RNA", at positions 8 to 742 of the family's 1533-position model. The record is from RNAcentral.